RNAcentral lists this ribosomal RNA (267 nucleotides) under uncultured bacterium. RNAcentral's name for it is "partial 16S ribosomal RNA". It matches the Rfam family "Bacterial small subunit ribosomal RNA", at positions 793 to 1055 of the family's 1533-position model. The record is from RNAcentral.
GUCCACGCCCUAAACGAUGACGACUAGUUGUUGGGGGAGUUAAAUCCCUCAGUAACGCAGCUAACGCGUGAAGUCGUCCGCCUGGGGAGUACGGUCGCAAGAUUAAAAACUCAAAGGAAUUGACGGGGGCCCGCACAAGCGGUGGAUGAUGUGGUUUAAUUCGACGCAACGCGAAAAACCUUACCUACCCUUGACAUGUGAGGGACCCUGCAGAGAUGCAGGGGUGCCCGAAAGGGAACCUCAACACAGGUGCUGCAUGGCUGUCGU